UAAGCAUAUCAAUAAGCGGAGGAAAAGAAAAUAACAAUGAUUCCCCUAGUAACGGCGAGUGAACAGGGAAAAGCUCAAAGUUGGAACCUCCUGGUCCUAGAUUAGGCGGAUUGUAAACUAAAGCUCUUGGGUAGUACGGUUGGCCUGAUAAAAAAGUUCUCUGGAAAGAGGCGACAUAGAGGGUGAUAUCCCCGUCUUUGGUCAGAGCUCAAUCAUGCGUUUGCCCUUUAGCGAAGAGUCAGGUUGUUUGGGAAUGCAGCCUAAAAUGGGAGGUAAAUCUCUCCUAAAGCUAAAUAUUGACGAAAGACCGAUAGCGAACAAGUACCGUGAGGGAAAGAUGAAAAGCACUUUGAAAAGAGGGUCAAAAAGUACGUGAAAUUGCUGAAAGGGAACCGUAUGAAAUCAGUCUGAUGUGUUGGUAAUCAAUCUGGAUCUCGAUCUGGAUGCACUUGCCGAUGUAUUAGCCUGCGACAGUUUGAUCUGGAGGAAAAAAGAUGGGAGAAUGUGGCCUUGGCUUCGGUUAAGGUGUUAUAGCUCCUGUCAAAAUACUUUGGAUUGGACUGAGGACUGCAGCGAGCCGCAAGGUAAAGGUCUCGGGCGCUUGUUCUGGCUAUGUAAGAAAUCUCUGCUUCGGGUGGUAUCUUGCCUAAUCGGGACAACACGCUUGUUUCUCUUUUUUCUCGCUUAGGUCGUAGGCAUAAUGAUUUUAUA
This 711-nucleotide ribosomal RNA is filed under the name Absidia caerulea. Its description in RNAcentral is "eukaryotic LSU rRNA". It matches the Rfam family "Eukaryotic large subunit ribosomal RNA", at positions 35 to 644 of the family's 3401-position model. Lineage: Eukaryota; Fungi; Mucoromycota; Mucoromycetes; Mucorales; Cunninghamellaceae. The record is from RNAcentral.